This 254-nucleotide ribosomal RNA is filed under the name uncultured bacterium. Its description in RNAcentral is "partial 16S ribosomal RNA". It matches the Rfam family "Bacterial small subunit ribosomal RNA", at positions 524 to 776 of the family's 1533-position model. The record is from RNAcentral.
UACGUAGGGUGCGAGCGUUGUCCGGAAUUAUUGGGCGUAAAGAGCUCGUAGGCGGUGUGUCGCGUCGGUCGUGAAAACUUGGGGCUUAACCCUGAGCUUGCGGUCGAUACGGGCAUCACUGGAGUUCGGCAGGGGAGACUGGAAUUCCUGGUGUAGCGGUGAAAUGCGCAGAUAUCAGGAGGAACACCAGUGGCGAAGGCGGCUCACUGGACCGGUUCUGACGCUGAUGCGCGAAAGCGUGGGGAGCAAACGGG